AAUACCGCAUACGACCUACGGGUGAAAGCAGGGGACCGCAAGGCCUUGCGUCGAUGGAGCGGCCGAUGCCGGAUUAGCUAGUUGGUGAGGUAAAGGCUCACCAAGGCGACGAUCCGUAGCUGGUCUGAGAGGACGACCCAGCCACACUGGGACUGAGACACGGCCCAGACUCCUACGGGAGGCAGCAGUGGGGAAUCUUGGACAAUGGGCGAAAGCCUGAUCCAGCAAUGCCGCGUGUGGGAAGAAGGCCUUCGGGUUGUAAACCACUUUUGGCGGGAAAGAAAUGGUCUGUGCUAAUACCACGGAUUGAUGACGGUACCCGCAGAAUAAGCACCGGCUAACUACGUG
Molecule: ribosomal RNA, 348 nt
Filed under: uncultured bacterium
Lineage: Bacteria
Description: bacterial SSU rRNA
Rfam family: Bacterial small subunit ribosomal RNA
Source: RNAcentral